Molecule: ribosomal RNA, 254 nt
Filed under: uncultured bacterium
Lineage: Bacteria
Description: partial 16S ribosomal RNA
Rfam family: Bacterial small subunit ribosomal RNA
Source: RNAcentral
UACAUAAAAUACAAGCAUUAAUCGGAAUUACUGAACGUAAAGCGUGCGCAGGCGGUUAUUUAAGUCAGGUGUGAAAGCCCUGGGCUUAACCUAGGAAUUGCGCUUGAGACUGGAUAGCUUGGAGUGUGGCAGAGGGAGGUGGAAUUCCACGUGUAGCAGUGAAAUGCGUAGAGAUGUGGAGGAACACCGAUGGCGAAGGCAGCCUCCUGGGCCAGCACUGACGCUCAUGCACGAAAGCGUGGGGAGCAAACAGG